CACUAUCACUACUAUUACUACUACUGCUGCUACUGCUGUUGCUGUAGCUGCUGUUACUAUAUAAUGCUCAGCCUUUUGGAUCAUACCCCGACUCAUAUUGUUAAUCUAUCCAGAGACACGGAAAAGGAGACACUGGACAUUUAUUACUGGACAUAAUAUGGAUCCUGUUGGAAUUUGCUAUCAAAGCAUUUGGUCUCAGCUGUAAGAAAGACAAAGAAAAAAAA
Long non-coding RNA from Octopus sinensis (East Asian common octopus), 224 nucleotides. RefSeq lists it as uncharacterized. The record is from RefSeq and is a predicted model, not a curated record. The transcript has 2 exons. NCBI's taxonomy places the organism in Eukaryota, Metazoa, Mollusca, Cephalopoda, Octopoda, Octopodidae.